AGAUUGAACGCUGGCGGCAUGCUUUACACAUGCAAGUCGAACGGUAACAGGCCGCAAGGUGCUGACGAGUGGCGAACGGGUGAGUAAUGUAUCGGAACGUGCCCGGUCGUGGGGGAUAACGCAGCGAAAGCUGCGCUAAUACCGCAUACGAUCUAUGGAUGAAAGCGGGGGACCGUAAGGCCUCGCGCGAUUGGAGCGGCCGAUAUCAGAUUAGGUAGUUGGUGGGUAAAGGCUCACCAAGCCAACGAUCUGUAGCUGGUCUGAGAGGACGACCAGCCACACUGGGACUGAGACACGGCCCAGACUCCUACGGGAGGCAGCAGUGGGGAAUUUUGGACAAUGGGCGCAAGCCUGAUCCAGCAAUGCCGCGUGCAGGAAGAAGGCCUUCGGUUGUAACUGCUUUGUACGGAACGAACGGUCCUGGUUAAUACCUGGGCUAAGUGAACGGUACCGUAAGAAUAAGCGAACCGGCUAACUACGUGCCUAGCAGCCG
Molecule: ribosomal RNA, 493 nt
Filed under: uncultured soil bacterium
Lineage: Bacteria
Description: bacterial SSU rRNA
Rfam family: Bacterial small subunit ribosomal RNA
Source: RNAcentral